CUGCGUGCCCCGCUGGCCGCGCCGGGCUGCCCCGAAGGAUGUCCGCCCAGUCCAAAGGGACCGCAUCCUCCUCCUCCUCGCCGUCCGAGGGGCCGCCGGCAGCCUCCAAAGCCAAGGUGAAGGAGCAGAUCAAGAUCAUCGUGGAGGAUUUGGAAUUAGUCCUGGGGGACCUGAAAGAUGUCGCCAAGGAACUUAAAGAGGUGGUUGACCAGAUUGACACACUGACAUGUGAUCUGCAGCUGGAGGAUGAGAUGACAGACAGUUCCAAAACAGACACACUCAACAGCAGCUCCAGCAGCACAACAGCCUCCAGCUUGGAGAAGGUCAAGGUGCGUGGCAACGUGCCCCUCAUCAAGCCCCCCGCGCACCCCUCUGCCAUUCUCACCGUGCUGCGGAAGCCGAACCCACCCCCUCCUCCCCCUCGACUGACACCUGUCAAAUGUGAUGAGCCUCCCAGGCUGCCUCCUUUGGCCAACCCAGUCAAGACCAACGGCACCCUGCUGCGAAAUGGGGGCUUGCCCGUCGGGCCCGGCCGCAUCCCCAACGGAGACAUGUGCUGUAUUCCGAACAGCAACUUGGAGAAAGUGGUGAUGCAGCCUCUGGUGCACAGAGCUGAGAAGGAGCGGUGCGCUCAGCCGGGAGCGAGGGAGCGGGUACGGUUCAGUGAAAAAGUGCAGUACCACGGCUACUGCCCCGACUGUGACGUUCGGUAUAACAUUAAAAACAGGGAGGUGCACUUGCACAGCGAGCCGGCCCGGGUUGCAGGGAAGCUGCCACACCAGUGCCCUCCUCUGCCACCUCCUCCACCUCCGCUGCCUCCGUUCCUUCUGGAAAAUGGAGGGUUGGGGAUAAGUCCCAGUAAUAGCUUUCCUCCUCCGAGACCUGCAACUGUGCCUCCACAAACUGCGCCAAAACCCCAGAAGACCAUCUUGAGGAAGUCAACCACUACAACAGUGUGAAGUAUGCCCCUUGUAAUAACUCUUUGUUUUUUCCUAUAUAUAAACAUAAAUAGGUAAUGAGCACUUUCUACUUGAGCAAUAAAAAGACCCAAUGUAUUACACCCUGUGUCCAGUGAAGUGGCAUAAAAAUCACAGGGUCUCACACAAGAAGCUGACUUCUCACAUGCUACAGAGGAGGUGAAGUCUUCUGACUCUUUAACUUGUCUCCCCCAGCCCUUUAAGUAAAGCCAUAUUCUCUUGUGGAUGAGUGGAGUUACCUGACACUCAUUGCAGCAACAAAGGCAGCUGAGCCUCUUUUCAACUGCUCUCUCCUGGACACCUUCAGGCUUGAAGGAAUACCUAUAUUUGGAGGCACGUCAAUUAAUUUGCAUAUCAGAUUCAUCAUUGUGACUUCUUGCAGGCCAGAUCUGAGAAGUAACCAGGAAAGCUGACCCUUAGUGGAGAAUGGAAAAAACAUUGAAGUCAGAGCACAACUGAUCACUAGUGUAACCUGCAUUGAAUCAUCUUUCUCAGAUCUGACAGCUACAAGCUGACUCCUGGCAAAAGCCACAGCCUUAAAUUCCAUUUAGUGAGAAAGAAGGAUAAGACAGCUCAAUGUCUCGCCCUGUUGCAGAAACUGCUGUCUCCAAGCCUGACACCUGAGUUCUGUGCUGAGCAGCCAGAGUACCAAACAACCAGUUUUUUAUGGGUACAGCCAGCAUCAACAAAUAUUUCAAUAUAUAGCCAAAAGGAGAAACAAAGCACUUACAUAAUUUCAGAAAAUGGAUACGUUUAUUGUAACAGAGGAAUGUUACUGUCUGUGGGGAAGAAGACCUCUGUCACCCCUUGUACAUAUUCAAAGCCAUACAGGAGCAGGGCAUAAGUGAAGCCCAGUCACUUAAAAGGAUGGUGUCUCCUGUCCUUCACCCAACUUUGAGGAAGUUCCGCUCUUAGAGAUUGCAUCUCAAUGCACUUCUAUUAUUUGCACUGUCACUUCCAUUCAGGGUAAUGAUGUGUGCCACCAUUUGCACAGAUGGCCCCAGGAGAUUUUUGACCACAACAAGCUAUACUUUGCCAGGGCUCCAAAAGGAAUUAAAAAGUUAAAACUGAAGAAAGACAUUUAUGCUCUCUUUCACUAUGGGGAUCUCUUCACAGAAAGGACUAUGGUUCUUUCUUAGGAUGAAAUAAAUACAUGCAUAUACAUACAUAUAUACAUAUGUAUAUAUAUGAAAAAGCAGCAACAUGAUAAGGUGUAUUUAAAAAGGGGAUAUAAUCUUUUUAAUAGCAUCCAUUUUUUUUAUCAUAUUAGCAGCCAAGAAAUUUAGUCUAUUGAAUUAUACAUCAAAAAAUGUUCCUACUGAACACUGACAUUUAGUCCCAGUUCCUGCUAAAGAAGUCAUUUGUAAUAUGUAUUUGACAUAAAUUUUUUCUAGCCAUUUGUCUAUACUUCAUGGAGAAAUCUAACAGACAAGCAACAUUUUCGGUUUAUUUUUCUAAAUAAAUGUUUUGUUUGUAUUAUUUGCAGUCACUCAUUUUGGCUGGUUUUCAUUAUCUCCUAAUGUGAUUUAAAGACAGAACCAAAACACAGGGAUUGUUUGUUCUUGUUAAGCUGUAAUGAUUUGCUGAAUGAAAGCUUUAAUAUAAAUACUGUAAUUUGUAAAAUGAUGAAGUAUAUUUAUAUAGGCAAAUAUGUAUGGAAAACAAAAGGAGGUAUUUUAUCUCUUAAUUUCAGAACAUAGUUUAUUUUAAUAUCCACAGGAAGAAAUUAAAUAUAUAAUGGGAUAGGAUUUUUAUUAUAAGUAAGUGAAAAUUUGGAUGUUUAAGAAUGAAAUGAAUGUAGUCAAAUAAUGGUGGUUUCCCAAAUUAUACAGAGACCUUUUGCCAGCUGUCUCAUUUUACUCGAAAACUGGUUUAGUCAUCUGGGGGGGGUCGGGUUUUUCUGGGGGGGGUGUGUGUGUGCUAAGCUUUUUGUUUGGUGCUUUGUUUGUUUCAGCAUACUGACAAGACCAUGAAUUUGAUACUGUUUGCUCACAAUUUGAAAAGCUACAGAAUAAAAGAUGGUUUCUUAGAACAAUCUACAGUUUGCAGUUAAGAACAGCCAUUGUUACCCAUCUAGUGCAGUGAUUUGUUGUGGAGUUAUUGAACAUUUCAAUACUAGAGCUGUUUUGAAUAAAAAUGGGGUUUUUUUCCUUUUUUUUCCUUAGUCCAUUAGCCUAUGUGUUAUUUAAAGAGAAAAGUAAUGCAUUUGGUUCCCAAUUCACUUAAAUCAUUUGUCUUAAAUCCAGUUAUAUGUAUCUGAUUCAUAAAGCUGAAUAGGCUUUUCUUUCAAAGUUCAUUGCUUUAUGGAAGCAUUUAAGUGCUCACUAAAAGAAAAAAUACCUUUCAACAACAAAAAAUAAUUUAAAAUAAUCUGUGGGUUAACUUUGUGAAGGGCAGAUACCUUAAAAAUGUGUCGCUCUGCUCUAAUGUACUAACAAGUGUUAUGCGUGUACGUUCGUGUGUGUGUGUUUUCACGCAUGGCACCCUUACCUGCUCAUGAAUGAAAUGCCAGCUCUGCUGAAGUAAGUGCCACAAGUCCUGUUACUGCAAAAGAUGCUCAUGUUACUGUAUUUUUUGGUGAAAGACCUGAGCUCUGUCUUUGCUUGUGACUCUGAAGCCAUAAGCAGCUUUUGAAGUUUGUCAGGAAAUCAGAAAAUUAAGUAGGUUUAUGUUAGGCUCCCUCAUUUGGCAAAUAUUGGAAUGAUCUUAUGAUUUGACUUUUUAUGGAAGUUAGUGGUCAAUUUCCUUUGGUGCAAUGGAUAAAUGCAACCUUUGUAUUUGUUAAAGAAUGAUGGCUGUGUUUUGUUCACACACAAUUUAGCUUUUGGCUUAUAGUGUUCUUACUGUGAUGUCAUUUCUGUGUCAUUAGAAUACAUUAUUCGGACACACAACUGGCAUGGGCUUGGUUUUCCUCCAUUUCUGGAUCAUCUAGAUUUUAAAAUUGGAGAGAUUGUUCUUUGAGACAAAUAUUCAGUUGUUUAAGAAAGGGACAACAUUAUUGAAACAAUAAGAAAAUUUCAGAAUGAUAAUUUGAACACUUCCGUCAUUGCCUAAUAACAACACUUGAAAAAGCUUUUAUUUUUGUGAACAAAAUGCAUUCAUCUGUAUUUGAAAAUAGCCCAAUAAAAAUCCAGUGGAAUAAUUUGUUACUACUUGCAAAUACUUUUCUGCCAUGCUGAGUUCUAGAUCAGCUUGUGUGUAAAAUUUUUAUUGCACAAAAUCCACCUGAAAAAAAAAUGCACAGUUUUCUUCAGAAAAAUACAUGAGAUAUGAAAAAUAAUUACUUGGUCCCAGGAGUGGUUUUAUGUAACAUGUGCAAUGCAAAAAUGAUGAACAUAUACCAACACAGAGGUCUAAUUUAAGUGACAAAUGUAGUUGGAAGAUAACACUGCAAACCACAGGUCUCACUAAUGACAUGCUGUUAUUUGCACCUCUGCUUAACUGGGACUUCAUGCUGGAAAGUAAAUUUCAGGGUGUAUGCAGAAUCAUACAAUGCCGUGUAUCAUGUCUUAUUUUACUUCCAGUGUCAUUGGAAGAAGUCCAGAUUGCUUGAUUUUCAUAGAUUUAAUUUAAAUCUUUACAUAAGUAUUACAUAUCGGAUAUCAAUUAAGAUUGUCUGUAUAUUGUACAGAUACUCUCAUGAGAUAGCAUCUCAACAUAUAAUUUCAGAAAUUUUGGCAAAUAAUUAGCACUGAAAUGCUUUUUCCUAGUUUGAAACCAGAGGAGAUAGUUAGAUUAUCUCCUUGAACAGCAAAAAAAUUUUAUUAUUUCCAUUCUGUUCAUCCAAGCAUACUGAUGAGACCAGCAGAACUCUUUCAACUAAGAUGAUUUUACAGCAACUGAUGGGUCCUUUUUAUGUGUCAUGCAUGUAAGAAAUGCCUACAGAAAUAAUUCUCUAGUAAUAGUGCAUCGUUUCAUUAGCUAGCAUCUGAAAAGCCACUUAAAAUAGGUUUGAAAGGAUGAGGUGUGCAAAACACAAUCCUGACAGUUCUAGAUGUGUCUACAAGACAUAAUUUCAGCACUUAAAUUUUUGAAAGAGCAUAUCAUCAUUCAUGAGAAAAAAUGGUAUAUGCUAAAAUAUCUCCUUUGCAAAGUAGAAGAAAAAGAUUACAAAAACCUGGUGAUCACCAGGAUGUUAUAAAAGCAUCCCUCUCCUGAGAGUUGCCCCAAGUGUCACAUAUUGCAAAUGUCACCAAGGGACAGAUUUUUUUUCUCAGAUCAGUGAUGUACUGGGUACAUAGCAAGGCAGUGACGCUGUUAAUAAAACCUGACCACAAGACAGUGGUGGGUUAUUGUCUAAAGAGGGAUGGAGGAAGGACAGCCAUCACUCUGCCCUGGAGCUCCCCACAAGGGAGGAGUCUUGGUCUUAGGAGGAAUAAAUCAGUGAUUUAUCAGACUAAAUCAGGAUUUUCAUGCACUGGACUGCUGAAGAUGCUAUGAGAGAGGAAGCAAAAGCCAAGUGGAUGUUGUUCAAAUUACUUCUCUCUGUAGGUUCCAUAUCCUUGCAGAGCUGCCAGAAAGCCAUGAAAUCUCCCCAAAGUUGGGCUGAACUUCAGAAAAGACAAUUAUAACCAGGGACUCCUGUUUGGGAGAAUCUGGGAGAGGGUUAAGUCAUGGCAGAUGGCACAGAGACUAUUUAAGGUAUUACUGAAGGCAGAGAACAAAUACAUUCUGCUUAGCUGGAAAGGCUUGAGAAAGGGUAAAAGGGAAACCGCAUGGCUAAUCAGCAGGGUAUCAGAGGCUACUGAGGGCAAGACGUCCUUCAGAUAGCUGAAGAUUUUUCAAGAAAAUGUAAGGACUAAAUGUAAGACUAAAUAUAAUUUUAAAGAAAACCAAACAGACAAAACAAACAAGCCCAGAGCAACAUUAAUCAAAACAAUUCCAAGAUACUUAAGAGAUUUGUCAGCUACAAUAGUUGAAAGAAAAGCGAAUUAAGAAAUUCUGUUUCUACGACAGCACACAGGGAAGUCUGGGUGUCGGUCUGUAAUGCUGAAAGAUUAUCAAGGAAGCACUUAGAAGAAGCUAUAGGAAGAAAAUUGUAGCAUUUUAAUUCUGCUCAUGCUGUGGAAGGACUUUUCUAGAUUCAUACACAUGAAUUUCUGUGGGGGAGCUCAUGUGAAGUCAUGGUUUGUCAGUUUGAGGUGGUACAGAACAAAAUGAAGGGAUAUACACCUAAGAUUUUUAAAGACAGUCAGGGAUGAAAUAGCCAAACUGUACCUGUGGUGUGAAAUUCAUUAUUUAAAGCUAUUUUGAUAGCUUUUGAGAUGUGAGGUUGCACCUAUGUUGCCAUUUAGAUUGAAAGAGUAUGGUCCAUUAUAUCAGUAAGGGGCAGAAGGGUUCAAACUAUAAUAAUAUCUUACUAGAAAGAGCUAGAAUGCAUCUAAUGGUGUCAAUAUUACCAAAAACCACAGGAAAUUGCACAGAUGGCAAAGAGAAAACACAGAGGAAACUGUAGCUGGCUUAGAGGAAAGUUACUGCACUCACAAAAAGGUGUAAAAUAUUAGAGAAAAUAGUGAUUUUUGUGUCAGUUUUCACAGGGUGACAGAGGCCAAGAGUGAAAUUCCAGGGGACAUAUUCUCUGAUCCAUGUGUCUUAAAAUAUAUUUGAACAUGUGAAUAUGCUGGAAAAGUAAUGUAUAAUUAUUUGGUAAAUUUGGUAAUCAUAUUAAGUUAUUAAAGGUGUUAAAUAGGA
Parus major (Great Tit) is the source of this 6668-nucleotide RNA transcript. It is a transcript of the gene named proline rich 16, with no coding region annotated. NCBI's taxonomy places the organism in Eukaryota, Metazoa, Chordata, Aves, Passeriformes, Paridae. The record is from RefSeq and is a predicted model, not a curated record. The transcript is spliced from 4 exons.